RNAcentral lists this ribosomal RNA (790 nucleotides) under uncultured bacterium. Its description in RNAcentral is "bacterial SSU rRNA". It matches the Rfam family "Bacterial small subunit ribosomal RNA", at positions 8 to 798 of the family's 1533-position model. The record is from RNAcentral.
AGAGUUUGAUCCUGGCUCAGGAUGAACGCUAGCGGGAGGCCUAACACAUGCAAGCCGAGCGGUAGAGAUCUUUCGGGAUCUUGAGAGCGGCGUACGGGUGCGGAACACGUGUGCAACCUGCCUUUAUCUGGGGGAUAGCCUUUCGAAAGGAAGAUUAAUACCCCAUAAUAUAUUAAGUGGCAUCAUUUGAUAUUGAAAACUCCGGUGGAUAGAGAUGGGCACGCGCAAGAUUAGAUAGUUGGUGAGGUAACGGCUCACCAAGUCAGCGAUCUUUAGGGGGCCUGAGAGGGUGAUCCCCCACACUGGUACUGAGACACGGACCAGACUCCUACGGGAGGCAGCAGUGAGGAAUAUUGGACAAUGGGUGAGAGCCUGAUCCAGCCAUCCCGCGUGAAGGACGACGGCCCUAUGGGUUGUAAACUUCUUUUGUAUAGGGAUAAACCUAGAUACGUGUAUCUAGCUGAAGGUACUAUACGAAUAAGCACCGGCUAACUCCGUGCCAGCAGCCGCGGUAAUACGGAGGGUGCAAGCGUUAUCCGGAUUUAUUGGGUUUAAAGGGUCCGUAGGCGGAUUUGUAAGUCAGUGGUGAAAUCUCACAGCUUAACUGUGAAACUGCCAUUGAUACUGCAAGUCUUGAGUGUUGUUGAAGUAGCUGGAAUAAGUAGUGUAGCGGUGAAAUGCAUAGAUAUUACUUAGAACACCAAUUGCGAAGGCAGGUUACUAAGCAACAACUGACGCUGAUGGACGAAAGCGUGGGGAGCGAACAGGAUUAGAUACCCUGGUAGUCCAA